This 65-nucleotide transfer RNA is filed under the name Anterhynchium (Dirhynchium) sp. QHZ-2020. Its description in RNAcentral is "tRNA-Phe". Lineage: Eukaryota; Metazoa; Arthropoda; Insecta; Hymenoptera; Vespidae. The record is from RNAcentral.
AUUUAAAUAGCUUAAUUUAGAGUUUGAUAUUGAAGUUAUCAAGGUGAUAUUAUUAUCUUUAAAUA